UCCUACGGGGGGCAGCAGUGAGGAAUAUUGGUCAAUGGCCGGAAGGCUGAACCAGCCAAGCCGCGUGAAGGACGAAGGUGCCAAGCAUUGUAAACUUCUUUUGUCAAGGGACAAAAUCAGGCUCGAGAGCCUGACCGAGGGUACUUGAAGAAAAAGCAUCGGCUAACUCCGUGCCAGCAGCCGCGGUAAUACGUAGGGGGCAAGCGUUAUCCGGAUUUACUGGGUGUAAAGGGAGCGUAAACGGCUGUGCAAGUCUGAAGUGAAAUGCCGGGGCCCAACCCCGGAACUGCUUUGGAAACUGUACA
Molecule: ribosomal RNA, 305 nt
Filed under: uncultured bacterium
Lineage: Bacteria
Description: bacterial SSU rRNA
Rfam family: Bacterial small subunit ribosomal RNA
Source: RNAcentral